GGGUAGUCCUGGCCGUAAACGCUGCCCGUUAGGUGUUGCACUCCCUACGAGGGUGUGCAGUGCCGUAGCGAAGGCGUUAAACGGGCCGCCUGGGGAGUACGGUCGCAAGGCUGAAACUUAAAGGAAUAGGCGGGGGAGCACAACAAGGGGGGAAUGUGUGCGGUUUAAUCGGAUUCAACUCCGAGAACCUCACCAGGAACGACAGCUGGAUGAAGGUCAGUCUGAAGGGCUUACCUAACUCGCUGAGAGGUGUUGCAUGGCCGUCGUCAGCUCGUGCCGUGAGGUGUUGGCUUAAGUGCCAAAACGAGCAAGACCCUCGCCCUUAGUUGCUACUCCUUCCUUCGGGGAGGAGGCACACUAAGGGGACUGCCCGCGUAAGUGGGAGGAAGGUGAGGGCGACGAUAGGUCUGUAUGGCCCGAAUUUCCUGGGCUACACGCGCACUGCAAUGGCUGGGGACAAAGGGGAUGCGACCCCGAGAGGGGGAAGCAAAUCUCAUAAACCCAGUCUCAGUUCGGAUCGAGGAUUGCAACCCAUCC
Molecule: ribosomal RNA, 537 nt
Filed under: uncultured prokaryote
Description: bacterial SSU rRNA
Rfam family: Archaeal small subunit ribosomal RNA
Source: RNAcentral